Long non-coding RNA from Magnolia sinica, 474 nucleotides. RefSeq lists it as uncharacterized. NCBI's taxonomy places the organism in Eukaryota, Viridiplantae, Streptophyta, Magnoliopsida, Magnoliales, Magnoliaceae. The transcript has 3 exons. The record is from RefSeq and is a predicted model, not a curated record.
UCUUUCAGGUGGAUGUUGCAUGUGGGAGGAUUGGAGCUGUAUAUUUCAGGUUCAAGCAUCUGGUGAGAUAAACGAGUUUCAAAACAAAAUAGUCUGCGGUUUUGAGAAGCGAUUCUCAAUGCCAUUUUAUGUGUAAAUGCAUAUUUCAGAUUCAAGCAUCUGGAUGAUGAAAUAUACGAAACUGUUGAAAUUUCAGGGUGAAGUCGAGCACAUUUCUCUAAUGAAGCCAAAGAUUUGUAUCUUCAGCAUUAUUGUAAUUGUAACUGUAAUUGAUUGAAUGAAUUGGAUUGUAAUUGAUUGUAAGUGUAAUUGAUUGAAUGAAUUGGAUUGUAAUUGAUUGUAAUUGUAAUUGAUUGAAUGAAGGAUUGUAAUUGAAUGAAUGAAUGAUUGUACAGGUGGUAAUUGAAUGAACAAAUGAUUAUAUAUAAUUUUUUAAUGUACAAAAUAGCUACGGAUAUUGACCAUAACCACUAA